RNAcentral lists this ribosomal RNA (544 nucleotides) under Hepatozoon sp. RNAcentral's name for it is "SSU rRNA". It matches the Rfam family "Eukaryotic small subunit ribosomal RNA", at positions 174 to 710 of the family's 1831-position model. The record is from RNAcentral. Lineage: Eukaryota; Apicomplexa; Hepatozoidae.
ACAUUCUCAACUGUUUUAGAAGAGAAGCAUUUAUUAGAUAAAAAACCAAUAUAUGUUUUUUAAACAUAAAAUUUAGUGAUUUACAAUAACUAAGCAAAUCGCACAGUGUAAGCUGGCGAUAAAUCAUUCAAGUUUCUGACCUAUCAGCUUUCGACGGUAAGGUAUUGGCUUACCGUGGCAGUGACGGUUAACGGGGAAUUAGGGUUCAAUUCCGGAGAGGGAGCCUGAGAAACGGCUACCACAUCUAAGGAAGGCAGCAGGCGCGCAAAUUACCCAAUUCUAAUAGCAUAAGAGAGGUAGUGACAAGAAAUAACAGUACAAGGCAGUUAAAAUGCUUUGUAAUUGGAAUGAUAGAAAUUUAAAUACUUUUUAAAGUAUCAAUUGGAGGGCAAGUCUGGUGCCAGCAGCCGCGGUAAUUCCAGCUCCAAUAGCGUAUAUUAAAAUUGUUGCAGUUAAAAAGCUCGUAGUUGAAUUUUUGCUAAAAAUAACCGGUCUGCUUUUAAUAAUAAAAGUGGUAUCUUGGUGUGUUUCUAGCAAUAAUGUC